AAGCACACAGCCCUCACAUUUGGCCACAGGAACUUUUAUCUUGCCAUUGUGAUGGCGAUCUAAAAUGUCCCCCAAAUGUCUUAUGUGUUUGGAAGGUGAAUGAAUCAUGAGGAUGCUAUAGCUGACAUGCUAUUGAGAGGUGGAAACUGGCUGGAGGCAAGUCACCAGGUCCAGCCCACUCUGGGGAAGAGAAAACAUACAGGUGUGAAGAGCAGGAGGUGAGAAACAACCCGCCUGUCUUAGAAACCUGGCUGCCAUGGAGACAAGAAUGAACCAGACUCAGAGUGGUCAGGAGACGAUCACUUGCAGGGAGCGUGAAGGACACUCUUUGCGGCAGUGUGAGGGGUGGACGCAUAGCUCUAAGAGACUUCUA
Fukomys damarensis (Damara mole-rat) is the source of this 373-nucleotide long non-coding RNA. RefSeq lists it as uncharacterized. The record is from RefSeq and is a predicted model, not a curated record. The transcript has 3 exons. Lineage: Eukaryota; Metazoa; Chordata; Mammalia; Rodentia; Bathyergidae.